CUGUUAUUGUCAAUAUCUGCAUCCAACUAGGCACAGGUGUUAUAUAUGUUUUUUGGAAAGAGCAUGCUUUGGUUAUGCUUUUAAUGCUUAUUUUGCUAGCAAUCUUGAGUUCUUCAGCUCUAGCUGUUCCAUCUACUAAAGUUUACCUAGAGAUAAAAUAUAGUAAGAAACUUAAAUUAGCUGUGAAGGAAUGCUCCGAGAACACUGAUGUACCUGUAUAUAAGAGAAUGAGAGAAAAUCUGCCUAAAUAUUGGAUGAUGGCUCAUACCUGUAAUCCCCAGUUUGUGAUUGGAAGACUAGCAACAUGCACUGCAUCGGGGGCGUUCUGCCUACUUAGCGCUGUGAUUUUAGCAGAAGCUAUGCUUCGAUCUUAUUUUGUGCCCCGGUCCUUCAAGUUUUGCCAUGGUGAUUCUGACUACAAGUGGUCGACUACAUCAAUUCUUGUAACUCAAAUCAUAGCAGUAGGAGUAGGUACUAUUGCCCCAGCUUUUAGAUGGUUCACAGCCAUUAAAUU
Molecule: long non-coding RNA, 514 nt
Filed under: Panax ginseng (ginseng)
Lineage: Eukaryota; Viridiplantae; Streptophyta; Magnoliopsida; Apiales; Araliaceae
Description: long non-coding RNA (PGIN_LNC017563)
Source: RNAcentral